GACGUAGGGUGCGAGCGUUGUCCGGAGUUAUUGGGCGUAAAGAGCGUGUAGGCGGUCUGGUAGGUCCGUUGUGAAAACUCGAGGCUCAACCUCGAGACGCCGAUGGAAACCAUCAGACUAGAGUCCGGAAGAGGAGAGUGGAAUUCCUGGUGUAGCGGUGAAAUGCGCAGAUAUCAGGAAGAACACCCGUGGCUAAGGCGGCUCUCUAGUACGGUACUGACGCUGAGACGCGAAAGCGUGGGGAGCGAACAGG
RNAcentral lists this ribosomal RNA (253 nucleotides) under uncultured bacterium. Its description in RNAcentral is "partial 16S ribosomal RNA". It matches the Rfam family "Bacterial small subunit ribosomal RNA", at positions 524 to 776 of the family's 1533-position model. The record is from RNAcentral.